This 238-nucleotide ribosomal RNA is filed under the name uncultured bacterium. RNAcentral's name for it is "partial 16S ribosomal RNA". It matches the Rfam family "Bacterial small subunit ribosomal RNA", at positions 15 to 245 of the family's 1533-position model. The record is from RNAcentral.
GAUCAUGGCUCAGGAUGGACGCUAGCUACAGGCUUAACACAUGCAAGUCGAGGGGCAGCAUGAACUUAGCUUGCUAAGUUUGAUGGCGACCGGCGCACGGGUGAGUAACACGUAUCCAACCUGCCGAUGACUCGGGGGUAGCCUUUCGAAAGAAAGAUUAAUACCCGAUGGCAUAGUUCUUCCGCAUGGUAGAACUAUUAAAGAACUUCGGUCAUCGAUGGGGAUGCGUUCCAUUAGG